Non-coding RNA from Lupinus albus (white lupine), 924 nucleotides. Lineage: Eukaryota; Viridiplantae; Streptophyta; Magnoliopsida; Fabales; Fabaceae. The record is from the annotation of a GenBank genome assembly.
UCAUAUAUGAGAGUUUUAUUUGUGUAUAUGAGAGUUUUAUUCAAGUGUGAACAUAUCCAUGUAUAUUACAUAGAAAUACAAAUUGUUGGGUUUAUUCAAGUGUGAAGUCUCACAUUGAAUAUGCGGGGAUAAGUAAAAGAGUUUAUAAUUAGAAAAGGUUCAUGGAACUAAUGUCUUAAAGUUUUUGUUCAAGACGUGGUGCAUCACUUAUAGAUCUACACUCUUCCCAUACCUCGGUAACAGUGGAACUCCCCGGUGGUUGGAGACUCCCUCACUCACAAUAAAUCAUAUUUGAAUGUCAAAAUAAAUAUUGGUUAUGUGAUAAUUGAGCAUAUUUUAAUUUAGACCAUCAAUUUAUAAUUGUAUGAUUCUAUCCUCAAACUUUAUUGUUUUCACUUUCCAUAUAUUUUCACUGAAUAUUAUUAUUUAAGAUAAAAUGCAUUCAAUCUUGAGAUGAUAUACAGUAUAUAUAUACAUAUACACAUAUAUAUAUAUGUGAAGUAGUCUAUAUAUAUGCCAAUAAUUCAUCAAAGGACACCAUUGUCAUUUUCAAAGUCAGAGUACAUGGAUUUAUCUUCCUUCUCUUUUUUUACUUUUUUUGAAGUUUUUAAUGUUUAGACACAUUUUCAAUGGUAAUGUGUAGAGACAAAUUGUUACAGGCCUUCAAUUUAUGAGUGUCACUUGUUUGUUCCAAAAAAGAAAUGGGCUUCUUGGGAUGACAUCAUUGUGCCAUCAACAAUGUUGAAGCGUAUAUUGAAUCAUUAUGUUUGGUUGGAGCAUUGGAGGAAUGUCCUUCUUCGUAUGGUAGACUGGUAGUAUAUAAAGUGUACAUGUGUGUAUUUGUGUAAUUAUGUGUGUUCUUAUUCCACCUAAGUUCUCCAUUAAAGGAGGGAAUAGUUCACAUUAGUAUUUUUUUCUUUGUCA